This 117-nucleotide transfer RNA is filed under the name Blepharis calcitrapa. RNAcentral's name for it is "partial tRNA-His". Lineage: Eukaryota; Viridiplantae; Streptophyta; Magnoliopsida; Lamiales; Acanthaceae. The record is from RNAcentral.
AUGAUUCAAUCUUUUUUCUUAGAAUUUCUAAAAAAUCAAAAUAUUUAAAUCAAAUAAGAGAUAAGAUAAGUUUUCUAAUUUUAAAUAAAUAAAUUAAAGCUAAAAGUAGAAAACAUA